This 265-nucleotide long non-coding RNA is filed under the name Elaeis guineensis (African oil palm). RNAcentral describes it as "long non-coding RNA (EGUI_LNC047164)". Lineage: Eukaryota; Viridiplantae; Streptophyta; Magnoliopsida; Arecales; Arecaceae. The record is from RNAcentral.
GAUGGAAAUAGCUACCUCAGCACUAAAGGGGAGGUUGAAUGGUAUCUCCUCAAUAGACAUCUGAGGAGCUAUCUGAUAAGCUUAGAGCACACUAUGGAGUUCUUCAGCCUAGAGUCCUUUAGCUCGAUCAAGCCUUGACUUCAGUCCUCGUAAGAUCAUAUGAUUUAUCACCUCAGCUUUUUCAUUUGAUUGUGGAUGGCUAACUAUAGUAAGCCUAUGGUCAAUAUGAAGUUUUGAACAAAAUUCUUUGAACUUCAGAUUAUUG